CAGUAGCCGCGGGAAUACGUAGGUGGCAAGCGUUGUCCGGAAUUAUUGGGCGUAAAGCGCGCGCAGGCGGAUAGGUCAGUCUGUCUUAAAAGUUCGGGGCUUAACCCCGUGAUGGGAUGGAAACUGCCAAUCUAGAGUAUCGGAGAGGAAAGUGGAAUUCCUAGUGUAGCGGAGAAAUGCGUAGGUAUUAGGAAGAACACCAGUGGCGAAGGCGACUUUCUGGACGAAAACUGACGCUGAGGCGCGAAAGCCAGGGGAGCGAACGGGAUUAGAUACCCGUGUAGUCCCUGUCUCUUAUACC
This 301-nucleotide ribosomal RNA is filed under the name uncultured bacterium. RNAcentral describes it as "partial 16S ribosomal RNA". It matches the Rfam family "Bacterial small subunit ribosomal RNA", at positions 509 to 808 of the family's 1533-position model. The record is from RNAcentral.